Molecule: ribosomal RNA, 948 nt
Filed under: uncultured bacterium
Lineage: Bacteria
Description: bacterial SSU rRNA
Rfam family: Bacterial small subunit ribosomal RNA
Source: RNAcentral
AGAGUUUGAUCAUGGCUCACAAUGAACGUUGGCGGCGUGGAUUAGGCAUGCGAGUCGAGCGAGAACCCGCGGGGGGGACAGCGGCGAACGGGGUAGGAAUACGUAGGUAACGUACCCUCGGGGCGAGGACAGCCACGGGAAACUGUGGGUAAUACUCGAUAAACUUCCCAAUCAUUAUGGAAGGGGAAGCAGUGGGUGUGGUUCCACCUGAGGAGCGGCUUACGCAUUAUCAGCUAGUUGGUGAGGUAACGGCUCACCAAGGCUACGACGCUUAGGGGGUGUGAGAGCAUGGCCCCCACCACUGGCACUGAGACACUGGCCAGACACCUACGGGUGGCUGCAGUCAAGAAUCUUCGGCAAUGGACGCAAGUCUGACCGAGCGACGCCGCGUGUGGGAUGAAGGCCUUCGGGUUGUAAACCACUGUCAGAGGGGAUGAAGUAUACGAGAGUUAUCUCUUGUAUUUGACAGACCCUCAGAGGAAGCACGGGCUAAGUUCGUGCCAGCAGCCGCGGUAAUACGAACUGUGCGAACGUUAUUCGGAAUCACUGGGCUUAGAGGGUGCGUAGGCGGUUAUCUAAGUCAGGUGUGAAAUCUCUCGGCUCAACCGGGAAACUGCGCUUGAAACUGGAUGACUGGAGGGAUGCAGGGGUGUGUGGAACUUCCGGUGGAGCGGUGAAAUGUGUAGAUAUCGGGAAGGAACGCCAGCAGCGAAAGCGGCACACUGGGUCAUCUACUGACGCUGAGGCACGAAGCUAGGGGAGUGAACGGGAUUAGAUACCCCAGGUAUCUAGCCGUAACCACUGACGGCUGGGGGGGGAGGGUAGCUCGUCUUCUUCCGUACGAAUGCGUGAUGUCCGACGUGAGGAGUCUGGUCGCAAGGCUGACUCAAAUGUAAUUGACGUGCCCUCACAAGCGGAUGGAAAUCCAUGUGACUUAAUUCCGAGGCU